This 430-nucleotide ribosomal RNA is filed under the name uncultured bacterium. Its description in RNAcentral is "bacterial SSU rRNA". It matches the Rfam family "Bacterial small subunit ribosomal RNA", at positions 9 to 419 of the family's 1533-position model. The record is from RNAcentral.
GAGUUUGAUCGUGGCUCAGGACGAACGCUGGCGGCGCGCCUAACACAUGCAAGUCGAACGGAGCUAUUUUGGCAGAACCCUUCGGGGGGAAGCUGGUUUAGCUUAGUGGCGGACGGGUGAGUAACACGUGAGCAACCUGCCUUUCAGAGGGGGAUAACGUUUGGAAACGAACGCUAAUACCGCAUAACGCAGCGGGCCGGCAUCGGCCUGCUGCCAAAGGAGCAAUCCGCUGAAAGAUGGGCUCGCGUCCGAUUAGAUAGUUGGUGAGGUAACGGCCCACCAAGUCGACGAUCGGUAGCCGGACUGAGAGGUUGAACGGCCACAUUGGGACUGAGACACGGCCCAGACUCCUACGGGAGGCAGCAGUGGGGAUAUUGCACAAUGGGCGAAAGCCUGAUGCAGCGACGCCGCGUGAGGGAAGACGGCCUUC